Molecule: long non-coding RNA, 1253 nt
Organism: Numida meleagris (helmeted guineafowl)
Lineage: Eukaryota; Metazoa; Chordata; Aves; Galliformes; Numididae
Exons: 2
Source: RefSeq, a predicted model, not a curated record
CGAGGGUAUCUUGUUGGAGAUUCCUGUGUAUGUGAGGUGUUCUAAAGGUGUACCGAUAGCCCAUGAACCCAUUCACUGGAGGGUACAGAGGCAGCAAAUGUUCUUGGGAAUCAGAAGGAGAAUCACAAGCUGUGUGGAUAACCAGAACAUAAAAUGAGAUACAGACCUCCUCGGGCCAGGUCCAGGACGUGAGAAGAGCUUCUCCAUGAAAUACUGAUCAGGGAGAGUCAUCUUACUGGCUAUGAUGUCCAGACUGGAGGGGAGACACCUCUGAUCCCAUCUUACCUUGCAGUUUCUAUCUGUCUAUGGCAAAUCAAAUAGCUUCCUAUUGCUUGUGUUAAGGAACAAUCCGUGUUAGUUACAUUCUCUGGUUACAAAGCACCCGUAUUUUCAACAGAUAUCAUAAAAAGAACUUGUGAUCAAUAAGCCCUGCCUUGCCCAGGGAGCUUUGGGUCUGUCUUUUCUGCUGCUGCUUUCUCCCUACUCUCCCUCCACAUUUGUAUAUUUGUUUGUACACAGGUUUACUGCAUCUUGAUUUGAUUCAUGAAUAAUAUACUUGUUGGGAUAUCUGUGUAUGUUCUCUUUCCUCAUGGGCUGUAUCCUGGCCUGAUUUGUGUCUUCUCCUGGGCAGUUUUCUCAGUAUUAUGGACAGCUCAGAAAUUCAUUGCAGAAGAUACAAAAUAAUUGUAGCAAAUAAGAGAAAUACACGACGUAAGAAAAUGAUUGCUUCUCUGUAAGUUUCUCACUCAAAGGAACACCAUGCUUCUAGUACUGAAAUGGAACUUUAUGCUUUUUGCAGUGUAUAUUUACUCUUAAUAGAAUAUUGAAAAUUAAAAAAAACCUUAUCGUGAAUAUCCUAAACAAAAUAAGUUUAACAACAACUGUCUUUUAAAACUUAAAUCUGGAAGACUUUCAUGGAUUUUGUACAUAAUGACACUUUCACACCUAAAAAUAUAUCAAGAUUGAUAGAAUAAAAAUCGCUGUUUACAGUCAGAAUAUUUAGUGGGAAAAAAACUUGGAUUGCAACAAUUUAAUAUCAUUCAAAUUUCUGUUAAGCUGCAAUAUUUUCAUGACUUUUGUUUAUCUUCUGAUGUACACAGCACUGUUAUCUCAUAGCAAAGCGUUCUUAUUGCAGUGAUAAUUAAAAAAUGCUUUAUUUUCAUAGAAGCAAAGUAUCAUACUACAUAACAUUGCCACAGCCUGUCAAAGGUAUGAGAUAUCGUACCUUGACAGUACUUCAGUGUAUUUUUAUA